Molecule: long non-coding RNA, 749 nt
Organism: Symphalangus syndactylus (siamang)
Lineage: Eukaryota; Metazoa; Chordata; Mammalia; Primates; Hylobatidae
Source: RefSeq, a predicted model, not a curated record
GCACAAGAAUAUACUGAAUUGUAUGAUUAACAAAUGUAUUCCUCCCCAUCCGCACAUCUGUGGAACGGAAAAAAUUUCUAUCUGCUUACUUUGGAUUUGGUCAGGUACUUGCUCUGAGAAAUGGAAUGUGGACAAUAGGUACCUUGUGUCAGCUCUGAGUGGAGACGUUGAGGGACAUCCAUGUGUCUUCUGGAUCUCCUGCAGCCCUGCUGAGAUGAGCACAGCCAAAGCCCCUCAGUUUUCCCAUUGAUGAAAACAAGCCAGACAGAGGACAAAGAAAGAUAUGGUGACUUGAAAGUAGGGAUGACUAAUGAAGUUCAGACCAGAAGCCCUGCGAGGAGAUAGGAUGGCUAGGAUAAGACAGCUAAAACGUGUUUCUGAAACACCACCAAGAAGCCAUGUCUGAUUCACUGAAGCCAUUCAUCCACCAAUUUCCAGUUGUGAGAAAAGAUACUUAGAAGAUCAUAAACAGGCUACAUCUGAUAAUAUCUUCAAGGGCACCUAAGAAUAUUUACAUUCCUCUAAGGAGGAUGAUGAGAUCCCGAAUGUGCCUUGCCACUUCAAAGGGUCACUGGAAUACAGCUUUCAGAAAAGACUGCCUGCAAGAUUGUGAAGGAGGUUCAAUUCCCUUCAGGUCCUUCCUUCAGUGCACUUGAAGAUGGCUACAACUUUUAGAAGUCGCCAAAGUUUUUAAUGUAACUUCUAAAUCUUUCUAUUUCUGGGUCCCCCUUGUAAAUUUCCAUAUAGAA